Molecule: RNA transcript, 637 nt
Organism: Cicer arietinum (chickpea)
Lineage: Eukaryota; Viridiplantae; Streptophyta; Magnoliopsida; Fabales; Fabaceae
Source: RefSeq, a predicted model, not a curated record
AUUCCAUUUUUGAGUUCUUCUAGCUAGCAUACAUGGGUUUUAUGAUUUUGAGUUUACCAAUAUCGGUGCGAUUUGAGGCCACUAGUUUUAAUGGUUUGCCACCAUAUCGCCCUCGUCUUUCAAUCAGAAAGCCGUCUUGGGUUGUGAGGACAGAAUCCAAUGUUCGGAGAAAAAUAAGGAAGAAGCCGGAUCCACCUUGUGUGGUAUGUGAGGGGGGUGGAAGAGUGGAUUGCCAUUGUUGUCAGGGAAAAGGAAGGACAAAUCAAGUUCAUUUGGAAAUGCUUCCGAAAGGCGAAUGGCCAAAUUGGUGUAACACUUGUGGUGGAAGUGGUCUUACUUUCUGCUCACGCUGCCUUGGAACUGGAGAAUUUAGGGGUAUUAUGGGCUUUCAAUUCAUAAAAAUGGGCAAUCAUAAAUCUCAAUAGUAUACAAGUAUCAGUUUCUUCGUCUUCUUGGGUGAUGAUAGAUAUUAGGUUUGAGGUCAUACAGAAUAUCAUGGCACUUCUAGUAAUCUGACAUUUCUGGUCAACUUUGGAGGAACAUAAUUCAUAAUGCAAACAAACGAAGAGCACAACCAACCUUGCAUUGAAAACUCAUUUUUACAGUGGAGUCAAUGGCAACUUUUGGAUUCUCUUCU